AUGAGCCCCAACCUCUUUUGUGUGAUUCUUUGUCUGCUGGUGGCAGGUCCCGUGGAUGCAGCAGUCACCCAGAAGCCAAGAUACCAUAUUAUACGAGCAGGAAACAAGAUGGUCCUGGAAUGUUCUCAGCAUAUGAACCAUCUGGGAAUGUUCUGGUAUCGGCAAGAUCCGGGACAGGGGCCAAGGCUGAUCCAUUAUUCGAAUGGCGUCGGCAGCACUGGCGAAGGGGACAUCACGGAAGGGUACAGUGUCUCCCGGAACAAGACUGAACAUUUCCCCCUGACCCUGGAGUCGGCCAGCACCAACGAGACCUCCUUGUACCUCUGUGCCAGCAGUGAAUCCACAGCAUGGCACGGUCACCGCUCUCCGCACAAAAACCUCAGCCGCAGGCGUGAGGCGGACACUUCUUCCUGA
Non-coding RNA from Balaenoptera musculus (blue whale), 414 nucleotides. The record is from the annotation of a RefSeq genome assembly. Lineage: Eukaryota; Metazoa; Chordata; Mammalia; Artiodactyla; Balaenopteridae.